Molecule: ribosomal RNA, 433 nt
Filed under: uncultured bacterium
Lineage: Bacteria
Description: partial 16S ribosomal RNA
Rfam family: Bacterial small subunit ribosomal RNA
Source: RNAcentral
AACGAACGCUGGCGGCAUGCCUAACACAUGCAAGUCGAACGAGACCUUCGGGUCUAGUGGCGCACGGGUGCGUAACGCGUGGGAACCUGCCCUUAGGUUCGGAAUAACUCCCCGAAAGGGGUGCUAAUACCGGAUAAUGUCUUCGGACCUAAGAUGUAUCGCCUUGGGCUGGGGCCGCGUUGGAUUAGCGAGUUGGUAGGGUAAAAGCCUACCAAGGCGACGAUCCAUAGCUGGUCUGGGAGGAUGACCAGCCACGCUGGGACUGAGACACGGCCCAGACUCCGACGGAAGGGAGCAGUAGGGAAUAUUGUAGGAUGGACGAAAGCCUGAUCCAGCAGUGCCGCGUGAGUGAGGAAGGCCUUAGUGUUGUAAAGCUCUUUUACACGAGACGAGAAUGACAGUACCGGGAGAAUAAGCACCGGCUAACUCCGUG